UAGAAUAUAGUAUAGUGGAAGUAUUGGGAGUUUUGAUCUCCCUGGGGCAGGUUCAAGUCCUGUUUUUCUAA
This 71-nucleotide transfer RNA is filed under the name Elseya schultzei (Schultzes snapping turtle). Its description in RNAcentral is "tRNA-Gln". It matches the Rfam family "tRNA". From Rfam's summary of the family: Transfer RNA (tRNA) molecules are approximately 80 nucleotides in length. Their secondary structure includes four short double-helical elements and three loops (D, anti-codon, and T loops). Lineage: Eukaryota; Metazoa; Chordata; Testudines; Chelidae. The record is from RNAcentral.